RNAcentral lists this ribosomal RNA (760 nucleotides) under Prevotella nigrescens. RNAcentral's name for it is "bacterial SSU rRNA". It matches the Rfam family "Bacterial small subunit ribosomal RNA", at positions 28 to 776 of the family's 1533-position model. Lineage: Bacteria; Pseudomonadati; Bacteroidota; Bacteroidia; Bacteroidales; Prevotellaceae. The record is from RNAcentral.
GAUGAACGCUGGCUACGGCUUAACACAUGCAAGUCGUGGGGAAACGGCAUUAUGUGCUUGCACAUUCUGGACGUCGACCGGCGCACGGGUGAGUAUCGCGUAUCCAACCUGCCCCUUACUUGGGGAUACCCCGUUGAAAGACGGCCUAAUACCCGAUGUGUUUCAUUGACGGCAUCCGAUAUGAAACAAAGGUUUUCCGGUAAGGGAUGGGGAUGCGUCUGAUUAGCUUGUUGGCGGGGCAACGGCCCACCAAGGCGACGAUCAGUAGGGGUUCUGAGAGGAAGGUCCCCCACAUUGGAACUGAGACACGGUCCAAACUCCUACGGGAGGCAGCAGUGAGGAAUAUUGGUCAAUGGACGCAAGUCUGAACCAGCCAAGUAGCGUGCAGGAUGACGGCCCUAUGGGUUGUAAACUGCUUUUAUGUGGGAAUAAAGUGGCGCACGUGUGCGCCAUUGCAUGUACCUCAUGAAUAAGGACCGGCUAAUUCCGUGCCAGCAGCCGCGGUAAUACGGAAGGUCCGGGCGUUAUCCGGAUUUAUUGGGUUUAAAGGGAGUGUAGGCGGUCUGUUAAGCGUGUUGUGAAAUUUAGGUGCUCAACAUUUAACUUGCAGCGCGAACUGUCAGACUUGAGUACACGCAGCGCAGGCGGAAUUCAUGGUGUAGCGGUGAAAUGCUUAGAUAUCAUGAGGAACUCCGAUCGCGAAGGCAGCCUGCGGGAGUGUUACUGACGCUAAAGCUCGAAGGUGCGGGUAUCGAACAGG